This 1497-nucleotide ribosomal RNA is filed under the name Apocryptes bato. RNAcentral describes it as "partial 16S ribosomal RNA". It matches the Rfam family "Bacterial large subunit ribosomal RNA", at positions 196 to 2574 of the family's 2925-position model. Lineage: Eukaryota; Metazoa; Chordata; Actinopteri; Gobiiformes; Gobiidae. The record is from RNAcentral.
ACACUUCCCAACAGCUAGCCCACCAGAAAAACCUAACAAACAAACAUAAAUUAACCCCAAAUACCCCUAAAAAACAAAACAAACCAUUUUACCAUCUUAGUAUAUGCGAUAAAAAAGAAACCUGGCGCAAUAGAAAAAGUACCGCAAGGGAAAGCUGAAAGAGAAAUGAAACAACCCAGUUAAGAUAAAAAAGCAGAGACUACCCCUCGUACCUUUUGCAUCAUGAAUUAGUUAGAAACCUUCAAGCAAAGUGCACUUUAGUUUGAACCCCCGAAACUGAGCGAGCUACUCCAAGACUGCCUAUUAGGGCUAACCCGUCUCUGUGGCAAAAGAGUGGGAUGAACUUCGAGUAGAGGUGACAGAUCUAACGAGCCCAGUUAUAGCUGGUUACCUACAAAAUGAAUAGAAGUUCAGCCUUUCAGCUUCUUUAUUUAAGAUGGAUCAACUCCCACAACCAAUAUCAAGAAGCCUAAAGAGUUAUUCAAAGGGGGCACACCCCCUUUGAAAAAAGACACAACUUUAAUAAGCAGGUUAAAGAUCAAAAACUACUAAGGUAACACACCCAGGUGGGCCUAAAAGCAGCCACCCAUACUGAGAGCGUUAAAGCCCAAGUGCACUACCUCCCCAAAUCCCGACAAAAAUAUCUUAAACCCCUUCAUUCAACAGUAGGACUUCUUAUGCAGACAUAAGAGAGAUACUGCUAACAUGAGUAAUAAGGGGCCAAGACCCCCUCCAAAGCACCUGUUUACAUCAGAACGAACUCGCACUGAACAUUAACGCCCCCAACCAAAGAGGGAAAUGAGAAAAACAAAAUAACCUAGAAAAACCCCCAAACCCUCAGCGUUACCCCUACACAGGUGUGCCCAAGGAAAGACUAAAAGAAAAAGAAGGAACUCGGCAAACCCUGGCCUCGCCUGUUUACCAAAAACAUCGCCUCUUGCAUCCCCCUACAUAUAAGAGGUCCCGCCUGCCCAGUGACUAUUGUUUAAACGGCCGCGGUAUUUUGACCGUGCUAAGGUAGCGAAAUCAUUUGUCUUUUAAAUGAAGACCUGUAUGAAUGGCACCACGAGGGCCAAGCUGUCUCCUUUUUCCAGUCAAUGAAAUUGAUCUUCCCGUGCAGAAGCGGGAAUACCACCAUAAGACGAGAAGACCCUAUGGAGCUUUAGACAAAAGACAGCCCAUGUUAAAUUCCCAACAUUAACGGACUAAACCUAUUGAUCUCUGUCCUCCUGUCUUUGGUUGGGGCGACCGCGGGACAACAAAAAACUCCCAUGUGGAAUAUGGCCUCUCCCUUCCAUUCCCCUUACCAUUAAAGCUAGAGCCACAGCUCCCACAAACAGAAUUUCUGACCUACAAGAUCCGGCAAAGCCGAUCAACGGACCCAGUUACCCUAGGGAUAACAGCGCAAUCCCCUUUCAGAGCCCCUAUCGACAAGGGGGUUUACGACCUCGAUGUUGGAUCAGGACCCCCUAUUGGUGCAACCGCUAUUAAGGGUUC